This 252-nucleotide ribosomal RNA is filed under the name uncultured bacterium. RNAcentral's name for it is "partial 16S ribosomal RNA". It matches the Rfam family "Bacterial small subunit ribosomal RNA", at positions 524 to 776 of the family's 1533-position model. The record is from RNAcentral.
UACAGAGGGCGCAAGCGUUAUCCGGAAUUAUUGGGCGUAAAGAGCUCGUAGGCGGUUUGUCGCGUCUGCCGUGAAAGUCCGGGGCUCAACUCCGGAUCUGCGGUGGGUACGGGCAGACUAGAGUGAUGUAGGGGAGACUGGAAUUCCUGGUGUAGCGGUGAAAUGCGCAGAUAUCAGGAGGAACACCGAUGGCGAAGGCAGGUCUCUGGGCAUUAACUGACGCUGAGGAGCGAAAGCUGGGGAGCGAACAGG